AGUUAUUAAAAUUAUUUCUUUUUGGUGGUAAAUGAAUUCCUUCCAGUUAAUCUCGAUGAUAAAUUUGAAGAUAUGUCUUCACCUGUGCUUUUGAUUUUACUGGCUACUGUGACAGUAGAAGUUUUCAAAUAUUGGAUUGCUUCAAAAGAAAACCUCAGCAAAUCUAAGCACAAAGAAAACCUUCAAAAGAGGGCCUAGAAGUCAUAUUUGCUAUUUUAAUUUAAGAUAAUAGUCAAGUAAACAAAGAAUAAGACAUAAUAUUCUGAUAUUUCAGUUAUAGAUUGUUCCUUAUACCCGAGAGUUUGUAAUUUUCUUAAAAAAAUUACACUUUCAUGUCCAUUGUAUCAUUAAUAUUCCUAAUUCAUAUCUUUGUUUGGAUUAACUCUUCCCUUCUUAGAAAGGUAAUAUUAAAUGGAAUGAAAUCAUAAAACAAGCAAAGAAUGGACACUAGUGGUUCCCCCUCAAUGUGAGAUGUGUUUGCUGGUUUUCACUAUAAUGGAGAGCAAGAGUACUAGGUUUCUUCAGGCCUCUCCCACAC
This 538-nucleotide long non-coding RNA is filed under the name Olea europaea (common olive). Its description in RNAcentral is "long non-coding RNA (OEUR_LNC011114)". The record is from RNAcentral. Lineage: Eukaryota; Viridiplantae; Streptophyta; Magnoliopsida; Lamiales; Oleaceae.